This 506-nucleotide ribosomal RNA is filed under the name uncultured bacterium. RNAcentral's name for it is "partial 16S ribosomal RNA". It matches the Rfam family "Bacterial small subunit ribosomal RNA", at positions 29 to 523 of the family's 1533-position model. The record is from RNAcentral.
AGUGAACGCUGGCGGUAGGCCUAACACAUACAAGUCGAACGGCAGCACAGAGGAGCUUGCUCCUUGGGUGGCGAGUGGCGGACGGGUGAGGAAUACAUCGGAAUCUACUCUGUCGUGGGGGAUAACGUAGGGAGACUUACGCUAAUACCGCAUACGACCUACGGGUGAAAGCAGGGGAUCUUCGGACCUUGCGCGAUUGAAUUAGCCGAUGUCGGAUUAGCUAGUUGGCGGGGUAAAGGCCCACCAAGGCGACGAUCCGUAGCUGGUCUGAGAGGAUGAUCAGCCACACUGGAACUGAGACACGGUCCAGACUCCUACGGGAGGCAGCAGUGGGGAAUAUUGGACAAUGGGCGCAAGCCUGAUCCAGCCAUACCGCGUGGGUGAAGAAGGCCUUCGGGUUGUAAAGCCCUUUUGUUGGGAAAGAAAUCCAUCUGGUUAAUACCCGGGUGGGAUGACGGUACCCAAAGAAUAAGCACCGGCUAACUUCGUGCCAGCAGCCGCCGUAA